AGCUCUUAAAUCCACAACACACCGUGGUGAACCCACCGCUAGGCCUUCGGGCUUAUGUAUCAUAUACUCUGAAUGUGUCAUAGAAUGUUCAUGUUGCCUUAAAACGCAAUCAAAUACAACUUUCAACAACGGAUCUCUUGGCUCUCGCAUCGAUGAAGAACGCAGCGAAAUGCGAUAAGUAAUGUGAAUUGCAGAUUUUCAGUGAAUCAUCGAAUCUUUGAACGCACCUUGCGCUCCUUGGUAUUCCGAGGAGCAUGCCUGUUUGAGUGUCAUUAAAUUCUCAACCCCACCGAUUUGCUUCGGGGGGAUUGGACUUGGAGCGUGCUGGCGAAGGUCGGCUCCUCUUUAAAUGCAUCAGUGGAGAGAAACUUGCCCCAGUGUGAUAAUCCUGUUGCGCUGUGGUGGGUGAAAGUCUGCUUCCAACCGUCCCUCCGGGGACAUAUGUCAUCUUAUUUUGACCUCAAAUCAGGUAGGACUACCCGCUGAACUUAAGCAUAUCAAUAAGCGGAGGAAGGUG
This 517-nucleotide ribosomal RNA is filed under the name uncultured Amphinema. RNAcentral describes it as "eukaryotic LSU rRNA". The stretch from base 118 to 272 matches the Rfam family "5.8S ribosomal RNA". The record is from RNAcentral. Lineage: Eukaryota; Fungi; Basidiomycota; Agaricomycetes; Atheliales; Atheliaceae.